RNAcentral lists this ribosomal RNA (313 nucleotides) under uncultured bacterium. RNAcentral's name for it is "bacterial SSU rRNA". It matches the Rfam family "Bacterial small subunit ribosomal RNA", at positions 28 to 333 of the family's 1533-position model. The record is from RNAcentral.
GAUGAACGCUAGCUACAGGCUUAACACAUGCAAGUCGAGGGGCAGCAUGGGCUUAGCUUGCUAAGCCCGAUGGCGACCGGCGCACGGGUGAGUAACACGUAUCCAACCUUCCGGUAACUCCGGUAUAGCCUUUCGAAAGAAAGAUUAAUCCCGGAUAGUAUGGUGAUUCCGCAUGGUUUCUCCAUUAAAGGAUUCCGGUUACCGAUGGGGAUGCGUUCCAUUAGGCAGUUGGCGGGGUAACGGCCCACCAAACCUACGAUGGAUAGGGGUUCUGAGAGGAAGGUCCCCCACAUUGGAACUGAGACACGGUCCA